GGCAGACGGGUGAGUAACGCGUGGGAAUCUACCCAGUUCUCUGGAAUAACUGAUGGAAACGUCAGCUAAUACCGGAUACGCCCUUUUGGGGAAAGAUUUAUCGGGAUUGGAUGAGCCCGCGUAAGAUUAGCUAGUUGGUGGGGUAAUGGCCUACCAAGGCGACGAUCUUUAGCUGGUCUGAGAGGAUGAUCAGCCACACUGGGACUGAGACACGGCCCAGACUCCUACGGGAGGCAGCAGUGGGGAAUAUUGGACAAUGGGGGCAACCCUGAUCCAGCCAUGCCGCGUGAGUGAUGAAGGCCUUAGGGUUGUAAAGCUCUUUCACCGGUGAAGAUAAUGACGGUAACCGGAGAAGAAGCCCCGGCUAACUUCGUGCCAGCAGCCGCGGUAAUACGAAGGGGGCUAGCGUUGUUCGGAAUUACUGGGCGUAAAGCGCACGUAGGCGGAUAUUUAAGUCAGGGGUGAAAUCCCGGAGCUCAACUCCGGAACUGCCUUUGAUACUGGAUAUCUAGAGACCGAGAGAGGUAAGUGGAACUCCUAGUGUAGAGGUGGAAUUCGUAGAUAUUAGGAAGAACACCAGUGGCGAAGGCGGCUUACUG
This 599-nucleotide ribosomal RNA is filed under the name Pelagibacterium halotolerans. RNAcentral describes it as "bacterial SSU rRNA". It matches the Rfam family "Bacterial small subunit ribosomal RNA", at positions 97 to 731 of the family's 1533-position model. The record is from RNAcentral. Lineage: Bacteria; Pseudomonadati; Pseudomonadota; Alphaproteobacteria; Hyphomicrobiales; Devosiaceae.